RNAcentral lists this long non-coding RNA (253 nucleotides) under Elaeis guineensis (African oil palm). Its description in RNAcentral is "long non-coding RNA (EGUI_LNC035932)". Lineage: Eukaryota; Viridiplantae; Streptophyta; Magnoliopsida; Arecales; Arecaceae. The record is from RNAcentral.
AUCAUGUGUUGAUAAAAAUAAGUGGUUAAUCUUUGCCAUUUAAAAAGAAACAGAAGUGAUUGUGUUGGCAGCAAGUGGACUUUUAUCUACAGAGAGAGAGGCCUAUGCUCGUGUGGAAAUAAAAAUAAUCCUAUGAACAGCAGGGUUUAGAUGGACUAAUAAUGAGGAUAAUAAGAAGUUAUUAAAGCUUGUAUCUUACUAAUAGUAGAAUGGCCUUAGACAUAGGAUGCAUGUUGGUUUACUAUUAAGGGGA